RNAcentral lists this long non-coding RNA (812 nucleotides) under Betta splendens (Siamese fighting fish). RNAcentral describes it as "lncRNA (ENSBSLG00000021633.1)". The record is from RNAcentral. Lineage: Eukaryota; Metazoa; Chordata; Actinopteri; Anabantiformes; Osphronemidae.
GGUUUGUACUCGCUUUUAUUAAAUGCUCUGUCAAAUUAAAAAUUAUAUUUAAACUUUAGUUAUUUAGUUCAUUGUUUCAAGCAUUAUUUAUUUCAUUUGGUUCUUCAAUUAAAUAAAUUGAACUAAAUUCAAAUCUCCUUUUGUCUGUUACAGGUCCUGCGACAUUGACAGUCAUCAUAUUAGUUGGUUUAUUAUUAGUAAUAUGUGCUUUGCUUGUGAUCAUUGGCAUCAGGACGAAGGCUGCUCACUGCUCCUCACCUAAGAGGCAGAGCACCGGAGGCACCAGCUCAGCUGCUCUCAGCCACUUUGAGUCAAGCACAGAAGCAAAUGAGCUAAACAUCACAGAAGAGGAGGCAGUUUAUAUGAACAUCAUCCAGAUCAGACAAGCAGACGUUCUCCUUCCUACAAGUGGUGGAGACGGGGCUGUGAUUUACUCCACUGUGAUGGUGAAGAGCAAACGCAAUAAGCAGCAGCAGCAGCAGCAGCAUGAAGACGGGAAUGCUGUGAUUUACUCUAAUGUGAUGAUGAAGAGCAAAUGCAAUGAGCAGCAGCAGCAGCAGCAUGAAGACGGGAAUGCUGUGAUUUACUCCACUGUGAUGCUGUGAGGCGACUCUACAGACCUGCGUCUGACCAGCAGCUCAUACGCACUGGGAAUGGAUGCAGAAACUGAACCAUGAACGGUGGAAAACAAAGAAGAAUGUGAAUAUUCUCAAUUUAAAGCCAUGAGUACUGUGAUCCUUCAUCUGUAAUUACUGCUAGAUCUGCUGUGUCUGGGAAAUAAAUAAAUAAAUAAUAAAUAAUAAUAAAUAAAU